CUGUCGUCAGCUCGUGUUGUGAAAUGUUGGGUUAAGUCCCGCAACGAGCGCAACCCUUAUCCUUUGUUGCCAGCGGUUCGGCCGGGAACUCAAAGGAGACUGCCAGUGAUAAACUGGAGGAAGGUGGGGAUGACGUCAAGUCAUCAUGGCCCUUACGAGUAGGGCUACACACGUGCUACAAUGGCAUAUACAAAGAGAAGCGACCUCGCGAGAGCAAGCGGACCUCAUAAAGUAUGUCGUAGUCCGGAUUGGAGUCUGCAACUCGACUCCAUGAAGUCGGAAUCGCUAGUAAUCGUGGAUCAGAAUGCCACGGUGAAUACGUUCCCGGGCCUUGUACACACCGCCCGUCACACCAUGGGAGUGGGUUGCAAAAGAAGUAGGUAGCUUAACCUUCGGGAGGGCGCUUACCACUUUGUGAUUCAUGACUGGGGUGAAGUCGUAACAAGGUAACCGUAGGGGAACCUGCGGUUGGAUCACCUCCUUA
Molecule: ribosomal RNA, 484 nt
Filed under: Citrobacter freundii
Lineage: Bacteria; Pseudomonadati; Pseudomonadota; Gammaproteobacteria; Enterobacterales; Enterobacteriaceae
Description: bacterial SSU rRNA
Rfam family: Bacterial small subunit ribosomal RNA
Source: RNAcentral